GACGAACGCUGGCGGCGUGCCUAAUACAUGCAAGUAGAACGCUGAAGGAGGAGCUUGCUCUUCUGGAUGAGUUGCGAACGGGUGAGUAACGCGUAGGUAACCUGCCUGGUAGCGGGGGAUAACUAUUGGAAACGAUAGCUAAUACCGCAUAACAGUAGAUGUUGCAUGACAUUUGCUUAAAAGGUGCAAUUGCACCACUACCAGAUGGACCUGCGUUGUAUUAGCUAGUUGGUGGGGUAACGGCUCACCAAGGCGACGAUACAUAGCCGACCUGAGAGGGGGAUCGGCCACACUGGGACUGAGACACGGCCCAGACUCCUACGGGAGGCAGCAGGAGGGAAUCUUCGGCAAUGGACGGAAGUCUGACCGAGCAACGCCGCGUGAGUGAAGAAGGUUUUCGGAUCGUAAAGCUCUGUUGUAAGAGAAGAACGAGUGUGAGAGUGGAAAGUUCACACUGUGACGGUAGCUUACCAGAAAGGGACGGCUAACUACGUG
This 495-nucleotide ribosomal RNA is filed under the name uncultured bacterium. Its description in RNAcentral is "partial 16S ribosomal RNA". It matches the Rfam family "Bacterial small subunit ribosomal RNA", at positions 28 to 507 of the family's 1533-position model. The record is from RNAcentral.